UGCGUAGGCGGCGUCGUAAGUCAGAAGUGAAAGCUCACAGCUUAACUGUGAAAUUGCUUUUGAUACUGCGGUGCUUGAAUUAGGUUGAGGUUAGCGGAAUGUGACAUGUAGCGGUGAAAUGCAUAGAUAUGUCAUAGAACACCAAUUGCGAAGGCAGCUGGCUAGGCCUAUAUUGACGCUCAAGCACGAAAGCGUGGGGAGCGAACAGGAUUAGAUACCCUGGUAGUCC
Molecule: ribosomal RNA, 229 nt
Filed under: uncultured bacterium
Lineage: Bacteria
Description: partial 16S ribosomal RNA
Rfam family: Bacterial small subunit ribosomal RNA
Source: RNAcentral